RNAcentral lists this ribosomal RNA (432 nucleotides) under uncultured bacterium. RNAcentral describes it as "partial 16S ribosomal RNA". It matches the Rfam family "Bacterial small subunit ribosomal RNA", at positions 338 to 795 of the family's 1533-position model. The record is from RNAcentral.
CCUACGGGUGGCUGCAGUGGGGAAUUGUUCGCAAUGGGCGCAAGCCUGACGACGCAACGCCGCGUGGAGGAUGAAGGUCUUCGGAUUGUAAACUCCUGUUGCCCGGGACGCGGUACCGGGUGAGGAAGCCCCGGCUAACUCUGUGCCAGCAGCCGCGGUAAUACAGAGGGGGCAAGCGUUGUUCGGAAUUACUGGGCGUAAAGGGCGCGUAGGCGGCCCUCUAAGUCGAACGUGAAAUCCCUGGGCUCAACCCAGGAACUGCGUCCGAGACUGGGGGGCUAGAAUCCGGGAGAGGGAUGUGGAAUUCCAGGUGUAGCGGUGAAAUGCGUAGAUAUCUGGAGGAACAUCGGUGGCGAAGGCGGCAUCCUGGACCGGAUUGACGCUGAGGCGCGAAAGCCAGGGGAGCAAACGGGAUUAGAUACCCUUGUAGUC